This 252-nucleotide ribosomal RNA is filed under the name uncultured bacterium. Its description in RNAcentral is "partial 16S ribosomal RNA". It matches the Rfam family "Bacterial small subunit ribosomal RNA", at positions 524 to 776 of the family's 1533-position model. The record is from RNAcentral.
UACGUAAGGUCCGAGCGUUGUCCGGAAUCAUUGGGCGUAAAGGGUACGUAGGUGGUUAGAAAAGUUAGAAGUGAAAGGCUAUAGCUCAACUAUAGUAAGCUUUUAAAACUGCUCAUCUUGAGGUAUGGAAGGGAAAGUGGAAUUCCUAGUGUAGCGGUGAAAUGCGCAGAUAUUAGGAGGAAUACCGGUGGCGAAGGCGACUUGCUGGAAUCUAACUGACGCUGAGGUACGAAAGCGUGGGGAGCAAACAGG